CCCCCCCAAAAGGAGCCAUGCGCCGGUGGGGACGGGAGCUCGAGGCAUGGCUGCGUCUCUUGGUGUUGAGGCGGCCACGGGCGAUGGGCGGCCCAGUUCAUCUUGUUUUGAGGGGGUUGUGCGACGGAGGAGCGGGGUGACCGAGCUGGGAUGCCUCGGGCAUUAAGCGAUCGUGGAGGUGGCCUCGGGCAUUAAGCGACCGAGGAUGUGGCCUCGGGCAUUAAGCGACCGAGGAGGCCUCGGGCAUUAAGCGACCGAGGAGGCCUCGGGCAUUAAGCGACCGAGGAGGUGGCCUCGGGCAUUGAGCGACCGAGGAUGCCUCGGGCAUUGAGCGACCGAGGAGGUGGCCUCGGGCAUUGAGCGACCGAGGAGGCCU
This 376-nucleotide long non-coding RNA is filed under the name Musa acuminata (dwarf banana). RNAcentral's name for it is "long non-coding RNA (MACU_LNC003226)". Lineage: Eukaryota; Viridiplantae; Streptophyta; Magnoliopsida; Zingiberales; Musaceae. The record is from RNAcentral.